GGAGGGAGGCCGGACCCUGGGCUGUGUCCCGGCGCCCUGUGCUCCCAGUCUGCUCUGUUGGAUUCGCUUUCCCGGCCGGGCAGCCCCCU
This 89-nucleotide microRNA precursor is filed under the name Canis lupus dingo (dingo). RNAcentral describes it as "mir-8799 microRNA precursor family". It matches the Rfam family "mir-8799 microRNA precursor family". The record is from Rfam by way of RNAcentral. Lineage: Eukaryota; Metazoa; Chordata; Mammalia; Carnivora; Canidae.